RNAcentral lists this ribosomal RNA (253 nucleotides) under uncultured bacterium. Its description in RNAcentral is "partial 16S ribosomal RNA". It matches the Rfam family "Bacterial small subunit ribosomal RNA", at positions 524 to 776 of the family's 1533-position model. The record is from RNAcentral.
UACGGGGGGGGCAAGCGUUGUUCGGAAUUACUGGGCGUAAAGGGUGCGUAGGCGGCUUUCUAAGUUGGAUGUGAAAACUAUGGGCUCAACCCAUAGCCUGCAUCCAAAACUGGAGAGCUUGGGUUCUGGAGGGGAAAGCGGAAUUCCUGGUGUAGCGGUGAAAUGCGUAGAUAUCAGGAGGAACACCGGUGGCGAAGGCGGCUCACUGGCCCGGUACUGACGCUGAGGUGCGAAAGCGUGGGGAGCAAACAGG